RNAcentral lists this ribosomal RNA (465 nucleotides) under uncultured bacterium. RNAcentral describes it as "partial 16S ribosomal RNA". It matches the Rfam family "Bacterial small subunit ribosomal RNA", at positions 28 to 506 of the family's 1533-position model. The record is from RNAcentral.
GAUGAACGCUGGCGGCGUGCUUAACACAUGCAAGUCGAACGGUGAAAGAGAGCUUGCUCUCUGGCUCAGUGGCGAACGGGUGAGUAACACGUGAGCAAUCUGCCCCUGACUCUGGGAUAAGCGCUGGAAACGGCGUCUAAUACCGGAUACGAGCUGCGAAGGCAUCUUCAGCAGCUGGAAAGAACUUCGGUCAGGGAUGAGCUCGCGGCCUAUCAGCUAGUUGGUGAGGUAACGGCUCACCAAGGCGUCGACGGGUAGCCGGCCUGAGAGGGUGACCGGCCACACUGGGACUGAGACACGGCCCAGACUCCUACGGGAGGCAGCAGUGGGGAAUAUUGCACAAUGGGCGAAAGCCUGAUGCAGCAACGCCGCGUGAGGGACGACGGCCUUCGGGUUGUAAACCUCUUUUAGCAGGGAAGAAGCGAAAGUGACGGUACCUGCAGAAAAAGCACCGGCUAACUACGU